This 1390-nucleotide long non-coding RNA is filed under the name Oryctolagus cuniculus (rabbit). Its description in RNAcentral is "lncRNA (ENSOCUG00000032242.1)". The record is from RNAcentral. Lineage: Eukaryota; Metazoa; Chordata; Mammalia; Lagomorpha; Leporidae.
AUGUUCUUUCUCACCAGUGAAAGCUGCAUGAAAUGGCCUGGACUGCAUCUGGGCCACUCCAGGCUGAGGAAUGGACCUUUUCACUCACUCCCUGCUUGGGGAAACCAGGCUGCUAGUGGCUGGGCAGGCGGCUGGGCUCACCCUGUCCACCUGCUUCUACUGCGUGGAGACAGCAAAGUCCGCUCCAGCUCUCUGACGCGCUGGCGGGUAGUCUGCAGGAAGAGAAAAGAAAUCUGCCUUACUGGGGGAGGCACAGAUGGCAUGGCAAAGGACACGCCCUCCAGAAUCCCACCAUCCUGGAUGGGCCUACUGAUGAGAUCAAACCUCAGGGACCCUGGAGGGGGAGGAGGUGGGGUGCAGAUCCAGCAGCCAUGCAAUGAGCAGACAUAGAAAUCACAUUACUUUGUCCACUUGAUCCAGAGUUUCUUGGUUCUGUUGUUUCUGUGGGGAGAGUCCAAGAAAGGAAGGUGACUAAGGAUGUCCCCUCUACUCCACUCCCAGAGCAAGAGGGGGUGGGCAGGGGGCCAGGACGGGAUUGGCACAUUCUCAAACCCUAUGGGCACAGGACCUGUCCUGAGGCUCCCAAGGAAAGAGCAUGUGGGUCUUUGCUGGUUUUUGCUCACAGCUAUGGAACCGUGUCUGAAUCGGGAUUCUCCUUAGGGGACAGUAAGGUGAGCCUCCAGAAAUGGAAUGUGAGAAAAGACAGACCUUCCGCUAGGUUCAGAUUUACUAGUGUGCCUGUGCCCCCCCAACCCCAUGAGUGUGCCUGAGCCCUCGAACCGUGAGGAUGUCUGCACCCCCGAGCCAUGAGCGUAGCUGCGGACCCCAGCCCCAUGAGGGUGCCAGCACCUUCCAACCCAGUGAGGGUGGCUGCACUGCUGAUCUCUUAAGGGUGCCUGGGCCCCUCGACUCGUGAGAGUGCCUGCACUCCCUGACUCCAUGAGGGUGCCAGGGCUCCUCGAGCUGCGAGGAUGCCAGUGCCCGCGACCCUGUGAGUGUGCCUGGGCCCCCAACACUGUGAGGGUGGCUGCAGAUACCAAUGCCAUGAGGGUGCCAGCGACCCCCAACCCUGUGAGGGUGUCCGUGCCCCCUGACCCAUGAGGCUGCCAGUGAACCCGACCUGUGAGGGUGCCAGUGACCCCUGACCCGUGAGGUGGCCAGUGCCCCCCGACGUGUGAGGGUGGUGGCGCCCCCUGACUCUGUGUGAGUGCCAAUGCCCUCCAUCCUGUGAGUAUUUCUGAGCCCACCCAACCGGGGGAGGAUGUCUACGUGACCCCACAAACACAGUGGCAGUCACGGCUACCCACAGCCCUCCCCGCCCCAACCACUGUCCACAGGUGGGCCUUCUUCAGUCUUCCUCAGGCAGACAAAACUCCAGGAGGCUCUCAAA